This is a long non-coding RNA of Telopea speciosissima, 226 nucleotides long. RefSeq lists it as uncharacterized. The record is from RefSeq and is a predicted model, not a curated record. Lineage: Eukaryota; Viridiplantae; Streptophyta; Magnoliopsida; Proteales; Proteaceae. The transcript has 2 exons.
CUGCGAUGGUGAUGAUGAUGAUAAUUGAAGAUGAAGAUAGAUAGGAGGCAGCUUAUAGUCCCACUAGUUGCCCAGCCAUAGGAGUCCCACCUAGGCACACUUGAUUCUCACAAGUAAGUUCUCAAAGAGGAUUUUCACAAAGUUCUGGAUUUUGUAAAAUUUGAUGGGUGCCUUUGAGAGCAGCCAGGAUUUGCAUUAUGUAGAGGUGGAAGUCUUGAGUACAACA